Long non-coding RNA from Daphnia magna, 449 nucleotides. RefSeq lists it as uncharacterized. The transcript has 2 exons. The record is from RefSeq and is a predicted model, not a curated record. Lineage: Eukaryota; Metazoa; Arthropoda; Branchiopoda; Diplostraca; Daphniidae.
GAAUGCUAAUUGUCGUUCUUUUUUAUUCAGUCUGAUUUGUGCUUCAGUUGUACGUUGGAGUCGUUAAUCGAACCCGAACCUACAGUGAAAUUCAUAAUGCAAUCCCGUUCUGUUUUUAAAAUGGUCAUCGUCCUGGCUUUCUUGGUCAGCUCCUUUGAGGCCUUAACCACGGAACCUCGUGUACCUAGAUAUUCAAGUUAUUUUAACGCAAUAGGUGCAGUUGGGGUACGGCAAAAAUGUCCCGAAGGACAAAAGUUCAAUUUCAUACUUAAUCGGUGCUUACUUGUUUGGGGUUAACGUGAAAUUUAUGCGGGACCGCUAAAAGGUCUUGGUUCUUAAUUGUGACAUGAGGCUUUGUUAUAUGGUCGGUAAUCCCAACAUUAUUUACUUUGUGUAGUCUAGUCUUGUCAUUCCAUAACGAAGAAAUAGAACAUAUGUCACCUUUCUUU